AUGUUGAUGGAGAGGAGGCCAAGAAGCUUGUCACGGAGGAAGGCUACAGUGUGGUCGAUGUCCGCGAUAAGUCUCAGUUUGAUCGAGCGCAUAUCAAACCGUCCACGCACGUCCCACUGUUUACAGUGAACACCGAUGGAGAUAUCAGUAAGAAUUCUUGCUUUCUUUUCCGAGUUUUUCUCUGUUACCUCGGCUUAAGUUGACGCUCUUUCCAUUCUUCCAGGUACCUCGAUCAGGCGAGUGAUGCACAAUGGAUUCGCCGGGCUGUUUUACGGAAUAGCGUUCACGAAACCAAACUCCAACUUCGUCGCUGAUGUUGAGCGGAGUUUUUCUAAAGACAGCAAGCUGUUACUCGUCUGCCAGGAAGGCUUAAGGUGAGAGUGAGAGAUACACUAAGUUACCUUGAAGGCGAGCGUUUCUUUGUCUUGACCAUUUGAUUCUUUCAGGUCUGGACAAGCAGCCGAGAAGCUGGAAGAAGCUGGAUUCCGAAACUUGGCAUUUAUUGACAAUGGGCUGCAAAAAGUUAAGCCAGGUAAGCAAAACAAAAAAAAGGGGGUAGAAAGAUUCUUAAGUUGUACCCCUUGAAGCAGAUCUUUUCGCAACAGAGGGUCCCAAGCAGCUCCAGGACGCAGGAAAAGCGGGCCUGGUCACCAUCCAAGGCCAAUU
Molecule: long non-coding RNA, 666 nt
Filed under: Selaginella moellendorffii
Lineage: Eukaryota; Viridiplantae; Streptophyta; Lycopodiopsida; Selaginellales; Selaginellaceae
Description: long non-coding RNA (SMOE_LNC001019)
Source: RNAcentral